ACGGUACUAACUACGUGCCAGCAGCCGCGGUAAUACGGUAGGUGGCAAGCGUUAUCCGGAUUUUAUUGGGCGUAAAGAGAGUGCAGGCGGUUUUUCUAAGUCUGAUGUGAAAGCCUUCGGCUUAACCGGAGAAGUGCAUCGGAAACUGGAUAACUUGAGUGCAGAAGAGGGUAGUGGAACUCCAUGUGUAGCGGUGGAAUGCGUAGAUAUAUGGAAGAACACCAGUGGCGAAGGCGGCUACCUGGUCUGCAACUGACGCUGAGACUCGAAAGCAUGGGUAGCGAACAGGAUUAGAUACCCUGGUAG
RNAcentral lists this ribosomal RNA (306 nucleotides) under uncultured bacterium. RNAcentral describes it as "bacterial SSU rRNA". It matches the Rfam family "Bacterial small subunit ribosomal RNA", at positions 493 to 793 of the family's 1533-position model. The record is from RNAcentral.